GUUUUCCAACAGGAAAGACAAAGUAAUUUAUUUAGAAUGUUUCAAAGCCAUAUUUCUCACAAACCUUAAUGGGUGGAAGUAAGUGGAAAUGGAUCUCUUUUGCCUUGAUGGUAUCAUAAAAUGAACUGCUCAUGUCUGAGCCAAGACAGGCUGAGCCUCCCAGGCCCACAGAGAAGCAGAAUCGCACAGCCGUGUCAGCAUACGCUGAAGGGCACGAAGCCAGGUCAGGGCUUCUUCCCCACUGGCUGGCUGCACAGAUGGACGGAUUUGGGCCAUAAAGGAAGCAGGCCGUGGGGAGGGGCUCUGUUCAUCUGUCACUUUAGAAAAUAUUUUAAAAGGAGGUUUGAUUUGCAUAUAUAUGCUGCCACAGAGCACAGUAUCUUGUGAGAUUUUUAAAUAGCAAGGAUAAAACAGUUUACCCUACUAAAUGCAGAUACAUCGAAACAUUUUCUUCGUACCAAAGUCAUUCUAUACGUCAUUGAGUUCACACAGUCCACCUGGGCACUUACGGAAGGAACACUUGGCAAAGCCUCAGAUGCUCUGCCAUGUUGCUAAGCGCUGCCACCCCCAGGAAAGGAGAAGCUGGUAAGCUUCUAAAUUCUACUCACUUAGACUGAAAAUGCUGACCGAGUCUCCAACCCCCAGCAGCAGUGGUGCACCGCCUCUGACCGUAUAAUCCAGAUCCUAAACUGAAAGAAAGUCAGAACCUGGAUCCCAAUUCCACUUGAGAGAGAGGAGAUUUCCUGACUCCUUCUCUUCCCCAAAACCAAUAAAAUGAAAAUAAAAUGUGAAAUGGAACUAGAUGACUCUUUAGUUCUGCCUUGUGGCUGGGGCUUGGAUGGGAUCUUCAAAUACAGAGAGGGCAAGGGGCAGAGAGUGUGCUCAGCUUCCUGGGGAACUUGGGACCUGUCAUCCUACUCAUCACCUCUCCUGUAUUCUCCCUGCACUGAAAUUCCUUUACCAACCUGGGGCUUCCUCCAUGACCUCUGAACCAGAACUUACAGACAUUUGGAAACCUGGCCAUGAUUCUGUUUGAGAGACAAAGACAUUUUGCAGUCCGUGUACUCACCACUCCUCCCCAUCCCUAAACCCAGCGUUGUGAAAAUAAAAUGUGAAAUUUUGUAAGAUGAAUGGGCCAAGAGUUGUCUACAUCUUGCAGGGCCAGCUCUCAGUGUGCAGACCCUGACUCACAGGGCUCAGGGAGAAUUCAUGGAACAGACCAGAGCAUGUCAGACACAACCAGAGAGGCUGGGGGCAGCAUGGAUUGGGCCACAUGAUACGUGUGAAAGGAAAAGAUGUCCCUUUUCAUAUUUCACAAGAUGUAACAGAUCAAGGAACUUCCUCUAGAAGUGCUUUAGAGAAACCCAAAUUUAGGGACCGG
RNAcentral lists this long non-coding RNA (1381 nucleotides) under Equus caballus (horse). RNAcentral describes it as "lncRNA (ENSECAG00000047042.1)". Lineage: Eukaryota; Metazoa; Chordata; Mammalia; Perissodactyla; Equidae. The record is from RNAcentral.